ACGCUCGACACCUACGGGGGGCAGCAGUCGGGAAUAUUGCGCAAUGGAGGAAACUCUGACGCAGUGACGCCGCGUAUAGGAAGAAGGUUUUCGGAUUGUAAACUAUUGUCGUUAGGGAAGAGAAAGGACAGUACCUAAGGAGGAAGCUCCGGCUAACUACGUGCCACAGCCGCGGUAAUCUGAGCGGGCUGGCAAGGC
RNAcentral lists this ribosomal RNA (198 nucleotides) under uncultured bacterium. RNAcentral's name for it is "partial 16S ribosomal RNA". It matches the Rfam family "Bacterial small subunit ribosomal RNA", at positions 328 to 539 of the family's 1533-position model. The record is from RNAcentral.